GAUGAACGCUAGCGGCAGGCUUAAUACAUGCAAGUCGAGGGGCAGCAUGAGUGUAGCAAUACAUUUGAUGGCGACCGGCAAACGGGUGCGGAACACGUACACAACCUUCCUAUAAGUGGGGAAUAGCCCAGAGAAAUUUGGAUUAAUACCCCGUAACAUAAUGAUGUGGCAUCACAUUAUUAUUAUAGCUUCGGCGCUUAUUGAUGGGUGUGCGGCUGAUUAGAUAGUUGGCGGGGUAACGGCCCACCAAGUCUACGAUCAGUAGCUGAUGUGAGAGCAUGAUCAGCCACACGGGCACUGAGACACGGGCCCGACUCCUACGGGAGGCAGCAGUAAAGGAAUAUUGGUCAAUGAGCAAGUCUGAACCAGCCAUGCCGCGUGAAGGAUGAAGGCCUAGGGUUGUAAAGUCUCUUUUACCAGGAUGAUAAUGACAGUACCUGGAGAAU
RNAcentral lists this ribosomal RNA (446 nucleotides) under uncultured bacterium. RNAcentral's name for it is "bacterial SSU rRNA". It matches the Rfam family "Bacterial small subunit ribosomal RNA", at positions 28 to 487 of the family's 1533-position model. The record is from RNAcentral.